CAAUGGGCGAAAGNNUGACGCAGCGACGCCGCGUGAGGGAUGAAGGCCUUCGGGUUGUAAANNNCUUUCAGCAGGGACGAAGCGAAAGUGACUGUACCUGCAGAAGAAGCACCGGCUAACUACGUGCCAGCAGCCGCGGUAAUACGUAGGGUGCAAGCGUUGUCCGGAAUUAUUGGGCGUAAAGAGCUCGUAGGCGGUUUGUCGCGUCGGAUGUGAAAACUUGGGGCUCAACCCCAAGCCUGCAUUCGAUACGGGCAAACUAGAGUUCGGUAGGGGAGACUGGAAUUCCUGGUGUAGCGGUGAAAUGCGCAGAUAUCAGGAGGAACACCGAUGGCGAAGGCAGGUCUCUGGGCCGAUACUGACGCUGAGGAGCGAAAGCGUGGGGAGCGAACAGGAUUAGAUACCCUGGUAGUCCACGCCGUAAACGGUGGGCGCUAGGUGUGGGGCACAUUCCACGUGUUCUGCGCCGCAGCUAACGCAUUAAGCGCCCCGCCUGGGGAGUACGGCCGCAAGGCUAAAACUCAAAGGAAUUGACGGGGGCCCGCACAAGCGGCGGAGCAUGCGGCUUAAUUCGACGCAACGCGAAGAACCUUACCAAGGCUUGACAUAUACGGAAAUCUGGCAGAGAUGUCAGGUCCGCAAGGGUCGUAUACAGGUGGUGCAUGGUUGUCGUCAGCUCGUGUCGUGAGAUGUUGGGUUAAGUCCCGCAACGAGCGCAACCCUCGUUCUAUGUUGCCAGCGCGUUAUGGCGGGGACUCAUAGGAGACUGCCGGGGUCAACUCGGAGGAAGGU
RNAcentral lists this ribosomal RNA (792 nucleotides) under uncultured bacterium. RNAcentral's name for it is "bacterial SSU rRNA". It matches the Rfam family "Bacterial small subunit ribosomal RNA", at positions 369 to 1174 of the family's 1533-position model. The record is from RNAcentral.